RNAcentral lists this long non-coding RNA (1575 nucleotides) under Macaca mulatta (Rhesus monkey). Its description in RNAcentral is "lncRNA (ENSMMUG00000051073.1)". Lineage: Eukaryota; Metazoa; Chordata; Mammalia; Primates; Cercopithecidae. The record is from RNAcentral.
CCACCCUCCAGCGGGCACAAGAAAGAGGCAGGCAUUCCUCAGGCCUUAUCUCUCUGGUUCUGUCUGCUACAUAUGACACCUUGCGAUGGCUCUCACCUUCUGGAAUCUCUCUACUACCUUGGUUUCAGGAGAGUGAACCCUCUCAAUUAUCACAUGAAGCUACUUCCUGUGAGCAGCCCAGGGACGGCCUGUCACUUGUGACCUAUUUUCAGAGCUGGCAGUUCUGACUUCUAGAACAAACUCGGAGCAAGCCCAUCUGUAGCUGGUUGACUGAGUUUCCUUUGGGCUCCUGGCACCAGAAAGAAUUGCUCCCUGGAAGGAUCACAGGUGGCACUCCCGUCUCAUUGCCCACUCAGGGAACACGAUGCACAUGGAUGAUCAAUGGUCAGUUCCUGGUCAAUGUAAGUAAACAAGCCUGUUUAAGAUAAAUUCCCCCACACUGCCUUGUACUACUCCUUGCCCUCUGCCUUAAGGUUAUAGAACAGCUGCCUUCUGCUAUUCUUCCCCGAGGCUCUGCAGAACCUUCUGACCUUUCAGAAGGUUUGCGUCCUUUCUCUCUAUAGUUUUUCCACCACUCUGACGAAUCCCCCACAAUGUAUCGCUUUGUAUGCAAAGCCAGGCCUGUCCAUGCAGGGUGACAAUCCAAGGUAGACAGUGGCAAAAUCUGGUGGAGGCAUCAGAGACAGUGCCAUCAGUUCGCUGGAAUAAGCGUAUCAAGGAGCCUGGCAGAUCUACACUUUACCAGACAGUGCCCAUGGCCAACAGGGCAGGCCCUUGCUGCAGAGAAACACUCAGAAAUCAAAACUCCUUGCUCUGCUGUCACGGACCUCUCCAGGAGAUCCUCAGUGUCAUCAGAAGCUGAAAAAGCAGUGCUGAGAAAUGUAGCCUGCCAUCUUUCCAGCUAAGGGAGGUGGCCCAUUCAACCCUGGGUUGUCCUCUGCAAAUGUACUGCUACAGGUCGCAUGGCACCAUCUUCUGAUUGCAAUUGGCUUUCCUGAGGGAGUGAACUGACUGAAAUGGGAUGGUAAUAAGUUGCUAGGUUAUUUUCCACUUUUUAGUUUAUGAGGCUUAUUGAUUUUGCUUUAACAUUAACUACUGCCUUCCUUUUAAGGAGCUGGUGAGGCAGAGCAUGGCAGCAGGUUGAGGGUGGGGAAGUGGCACCACCUCCUUUUGGGGAGGAUUUGGGAGGGUGAAAAGCACCCUCAUCUUCUCAGCUGCGUGUGAACAAACCACCUGUCAAGGUGGGUCCUUCAUCUAUAGGAGGAUGAUGUCAGCCCUUCAGGGAGGUCUGUUUUCUUCCUCCAUUUCCCAACCCCUUCAUUAUCAUUCCUUCCACAACAGAGUAAGUUUCUUGAGCAAAGCAGCAAUAUCUAGCAAUUUUAGAUAGACAUUUACCUUUUGACCUAGAAAUCUCACUUCUACGAAUCCAUCCUGAAGACACUCUCAGCUGGAUGUGGUCGCUCAUGCCUGUGAUCCUAACACUUUGGGAGGCUAAAGCAGGAGAAUCACUUGGGCUCAGGAGCUCAAGACCAGCCUGGGCAACAUAGCAAGACCCUAUCUCUACAAAAAAAAAAA